Molecule: long non-coding RNA, 3731 nt
Organism: Oncorhynchus tshawytscha (Chinook salmon)
Lineage: Eukaryota; Metazoa; Chordata; Actinopteri; Salmoniformes; Salmonidae
Source: Ensembl
GCCAGACAUCUCUCAACAGAUAGCACUGAGCAAGAAGCAGCUUUAGGUCUGCCAGACAUCUCUCAACAGAUAGCACUGAGCAAGGAGCAGCUUUAGUCCUGCCAGACAUCUCUCAACAGAUAGCACUGAGCAAGGAGCAGCUUUAGGUCUGCCAGACAUCGCUCAACAGAUAGCACUCAGCAAGGAGCAGCUUUAGGUCUGCCAGACAUCUCUCAACAGAUAGCACUGAGCAAGAAGCAGCUUUAGGUCUGCCAGACAUCUCUCAACAGAUAGCACUGAGCAAGGAGCAGCUUUAGUCCUGCAAGACAUCUCCCAACACAGUGGUUCCCAAACUUUUUAUAGUCCUGUACCCCUUCAAACAUUCACCCUCUAGCUGCGUACCCCCUCUAACACCAGGGUCAGCGCACUUUCAAAUGUUGUUUUUGCCAUCAUUGUAAGCCUGCCACACACACACACUAUAAGAUACAUUUAUUAAACUCAAGAAUGAGUGUGAGUUUUUGUCACAACCCGGCUCGUGGGAAGUGACAAAGAGCUCUUCUAGGACCAGGGCACAAAUAAUAAUAUAAUAAUAAUCAAUCAUUUUGCUCUUUAUUUAACCAUCUUACAUAUAAAACUUUAUUUGUUCAUCAAAAAUUGUGUCUAACUCACCACAGGUUAAUGAGAAGGAUGCGCUUGAAAGGAUGCACAUAACUCUGCAAUGUUGGGUUGUAUUGGAGAGAGUCUCAGUCUUAAAUCAUUCUCCACACACAAUCUGUGCCUGUAUUUCGUUUUCAUGCUAGUGAGGGCCGAGAACACACUCACACAUACUGUAUGUAUGUGGUUGCAAAGGGCAUCAGUGUCUUAACAGCGCGAUCUGCCAAGGCAAGAUACUCUGAGCGCAGCCCAAUCCAGAAAUAUGGCAGUGGCUUCUGAUUCAAUUUUCACAGAACCGCUUGUUGCAAUUUCGAUGUUCAGAUAUCAGUGGACUGGAGGCAGGGCAUGAAAGGGGAAUUUAGUUGUUUGUGUCAUCCGUUUGGGGAAAGUACAUGCGUAAUUGCGCACCCAACUCACUCAGGUGCUUCACUAUAUCACAUUUGACAUUGUUCGCAAUCUCAUUUGCACACAAAAAAAUCAUACAAUGAUGUAAAGACCUGUGUGUUGUCCUUGUUAAUGCAGACAGAGAAGAGCUCCAACUUCUGAAUCAUAGUCUCAAUUUUGUCCCGUACAUUGUAUAUAGUUGCGGAGAGUAACCUGUAAUCCUAGAUUCAGAUCAUUCAGGUGUAUAAAAACAUCACCCAGAUAGGCCAGUCGUGUGAGAAACUCAUCAUCAUGCAAGAGGUCAGACAGGUGAAAACGAUGGUCAGUGAAGAAAACUUUAAGCUCGUCUCAAACAAAAAAACUUGUCAAUAAAAAGCGCACUUCUGUAUGUUGUAAAAGUGUUAGAUGGUCGCUUCCCAUAUCAUUGCAUAGUGCAGGAAAUACACAACAGUUCAGGGGCCUUGAUUUAACAAAGUUAACCAUUUUCACUGUAGUGUCCAAAAUGUCUUUCAAGCUGUCAGGCAUUCCCUUGGUAGCAAAAGCCUCUCGGUGGAUGCUGCAGUGUACCCAAGUGGCAUCGGGAGCAUCUGCUUGCAUGCGCAUUACCACUCCACUAUGUCUCCCUGUCAUGGCUUUUGCACCAUCAGUACAGAUACAAACACAUCUUGACCACCAAAGUCCAUUUGAUGUCACAAAGCUGUCCAGUGCUUAAAAAAUAUCCUUUCCUGUUGUCCUGGUUUCCAGUGGUUUGCAGAAGAGGAUGUCUUCCUUAAUUGACCCCCCAUAAAAGUAACAGACAUAUACCAGUUUUUUUUGUGCCUUUUCCCCCAGCAUUUUCCCAGCCAUAUCCGCAGCAGCAGGAAGAAUGAAGUCCUCCACAAUAGUAUGGGGCUUGCCUGUCCUAGCCACUCAGUAGCUCACCAUAUAAGAUGCUUCUAGCCCCUUCUUAUUCAUGGUAUCUGUUGCUUUUAUACAUGUCUUACUACUCAAAAGUCAUCUUAAUUCUCGUGGUUUAUUUUUCAAAUUGGCAUGUUUUGUUUCUAAAAGUCUGCGCAAGAGUGAAGGUUUCAUCGAGUUGUGAGAUAGUACUGUUGCACAUCUAACACACUGUGGCUGAGGAAAGGCACUACUCCCAAUAUAAGUGAACCCCAAAUCAAUGUAGUUCUCAUAUUUGCACCUCUUCGAUGGUCCAACAUCCCUGUCUGUUGUUCGGUGCUUUCCCGGGUAAGGGGGCAGUAGCUCUUCGGCUGAAUCAGAUUCACAGCUGGACUAACAACAAAUGUAGAAUUACUGAUACUAGCAUUGGAUGUGCUGGUGGAAGCAGAACAACUUGUUGUUGACAGGUGCAGGUGUAGUACUGCUGGUAGUAGCAGGUCUACCAGUAGAGCUGGUAUGUGUCUCUAUGGACUCAGGCCUUACUUUUUUCACCAUUUAUCCAUUUUCCAGCCAACGGAAUGAGCAGUAGCUACGUUUGGCUACAUACGGACCGUUAGUGGAAUUCCCGCGAGAGUAACAGUUAAUGUGAUUGGAUGUUAAUUAUUUCACUAGGCUACCUGUAUUUGACAUUGUGUUGUUAUUUCACUGAACACUAGAAGGUUUACUUGUAUUAUUGGCAGUUAAACGAGGCUACUCAGGCGAGAGAGAAAAAAAACUAAACGUUGGCCUUUUUGGAAAAUAAACAUUACAUUUUUGUUAUUAAAAUGUGAAAUCAGAUUUUUAUUUGUCGUACCACCGACGGCAUUGGGCGUACCCGUUUGGGAAUACCUGUCCCAACAGAUAGCUUUGAGCAACAAGCAGCUUUAGGGCUGCCGACAUGUAUUGAUGUGCUGGACACACACACAGGGUGGAGCCAAUGCAGUUUAAAGAGGAAAGCACAGGAAGUGGCUGCUUAGGGGGGGGUGGAGCUGGUGGAUUUUAUUGAUGCCCUGGGUGGGCCUUUAUGCACACAAGCAAUAACCACGUGGCAGAAUGACUCCAGUGAGUAUUCCCCCCAGCUGACACACACAACGCUUAGCUACACAUGGCUAAUUAAUAGAACAUCAAACCCCUCCUGCUUCCUGUUGACUUUACACUGCAGUGUCCUCUCAGCUGAUUAUACUGACUUCAACCAUGUCUAUUGGCUAUUGUCUCCCUACGAGCCAGGCGUGUGUGUGUGUGUUAGCAGCAGGUUUGUGGGAGGGCUUAAUCCCAGAUAGCGGGCAAGACUAUCAGACAUUUACACACCCAGAUAUGACUGGAAAGGUGUUUAAGAUGAAGGAAAGGAGAGAGCAUGUGGAGUGGGAUGCUUAAUAAGAGGUGGAGAUUAUUACAGAGUGCAACAUGGAGUGUGUCCCAAAUGGCACCCUAUUCCCUUUAUAGUGCACUACUUUUGAACAGGGGCUAUAGGGCUCUGGUUAAAAGUGCACUAUAAAAAGGGAAUAGGGUGCCAUUUGGGACACGAACAGUGUUGGUGACAUCACUCUGGUAUGAGGAGCUCUGUGGUGGAGAGCUCUAUAUUAACAAAGUGUCUCCGAGUAGGAGUACUGAUCUAGGAUCAGUUUUGCCUUUCAGAUCAUAAUGAAUAAGACAGGGAGAGAGCUGAUCCAGUACUUGUACUGUGAGACGAUGUGAAACAGGUAAAUCCAGGUGAGAACAUCCAUUUAGAGAAGAAUGGAUGACGUCAGUAACACAGCAGUGGAACGGCAAUAACCCGUUGGCCACGUUACGGCAGGGGG